RNAcentral lists this ribosomal RNA (453 nucleotides) under uncultured bacterium. RNAcentral describes it as "bacterial SSU rRNA". It matches the Rfam family "Bacterial small subunit ribosomal RNA", at positions 917 to 1382 of the family's 1533-position model. The record is from RNAcentral.
GGGCCCGCACAAGCAGCGGAGCGUGUGGUUUAAUUCGAGGCAACACGAAGAACCUUACCUGGGCUUGACAUGCACGUAGUAGUGAAGCGAAAGCGGAUCGAUCCUUCGGGAAGCGUGCACAGGUGCUGCAUGGCUGUCGUCAGCUCGUGCCGUGAGGUGUUCGGUUAAGUCCGGUAACGAGCGCAACCCUCGCUGUUAGUUACAUGUGUCUAACGGGACUGCCGGUUUAAUGCCGGAGGAAGGUGGGGAUGACGUCAAGUCAGCAUGGCCUCUAUGUCCAGGGCUACACACACGCUACAAUGGCCGGUACAAUGGGUUGCCAAGCCGCGAGGCGGAGCUAAUCCCACAAAGCCGGUCUCAGUUCGGAUUGCAGGCUGCAACUCGCCUGCAUGAAGUCGGAGUUGCUAGUAACCGCGCGUCAGCCAUAGUGCGGUGAAUGCGUUCCCGGGCCUU